UUUCAUGUAAAUGAAAUUUUCAAAAUAUUAUAUGACAGUCAUGUAAUACAUACCGGAAAAACUUCCUAUUUUACUUAGCAAUGAUGAUCUGUGAUCUGGAGAAGGGUUGAGGGAACUUUUUGUACCUGUUCAUGAAGCUUUUCACUGCGUUUUGGAUACUGAGUUAUUUUUUAUUUCAUGAUGCUCGAACGCUUGAAUUUUCGAAUAGAAAUAAUAAAUAAUCUUAAUACUCUUGCAAGCCGGUUAUUGUACGGAUAUGAAUCUAACCUUGUCCAAGACCAAGAUCGCUCAUCAACAGCUUCAAGAUUUUCAAAGCUUCAUACGUAUAUCAAACGGAAAUGGAAUCUGUGUCGGGGACGUUGGAUGGAGUUAAAGCCAAGAAAAUGAGGGCACUCAUGAUUAAGACUGGAAGGAAGAGAAGGAAAAGUGGCGGCGGUGGCAAUGGAGGCAGAACAAGCGGCAGCACCAGAAGGAAGAAAGUAAAAACAACCAUCACCGUGAGUGAUCUUAGACUGAAAUGGUUUAACGCCACAUUCAUCGCCGGGUAGCUGGCUGCAGUUUGAGAAAGAAAAUAGAGAAGUGAUCAUAUUUGCUACGCGGAUCACAGCUGUUAGAUUCAUAGCCCCAUGGAAUUUUAAGUACCAUUGAUGAGUCAAAACUCAUUGCUAG
This 669-nucleotide long non-coding RNA is filed under the name Manihot esculenta (cassava). RNAcentral's name for it is "long non-coding RNA (MESC_LNC004445)". The record is from RNAcentral. Lineage: Eukaryota; Viridiplantae; Streptophyta; Magnoliopsida; Malpighiales; Euphorbiaceae.